ACUGCUGAAACCAACAUCCGAAAACCCGAAGAGCCGAGCGAAGCGAGGCAAAACAACCGAAACUAUCAUUCCGAGACUGGAGAGGAGCCGAGCGAAGCGAGGCUAUACUACUUUAAUCACCAACUGCCUGUUUAACUGGAGAGCCGAGCGCAGCGAGGCAAAACAAUCCAAACCAUCAUACCACAAACAUUGGAGAGCCGAGCGCAGCGAGGCAAAACAUUUCAAAACAUUAUACCACAACCACUGAAGAGCCGAGCGAAGCGAGGCAAUACAGCUUAAGUAUAACCUAACCGUUAAAGAGGAGCCGAGCGAAGCGAGGCAAAUCAAUGCGAACCACCAUACUGCAAACCCUGGAGAGCCGAGCGAAGCGAGGCAACACUACUCAAACCCUCGUCAACACAACUAUAUAACCUGAGAGCCGAUUGUGGCUAAGAAAUAACUUCAAUGAAUAAAAAUUAAAGACAAAAGUGUAAGUUUGGCCGCGUUUAUAGUUCCAUACGUGUGCAACGAAAAACGUGAAAAGCUUAGUUCUAUAAUGUUAAAAAAUGCAAUUUAUCCUACUUACUUUGUCUUAAACAGCAGACCCACAUAAGAAAAUAAUGAAUAAAAAUCCUGUAAAUUUCGUUUCUAUGAAAAAGUUUAUUUUCAGGACAGAGUAAACUAAUAAUCGACACGCUAGAAAAACGCGCGAAUGGAGGUGACUCAGAUUUAUGAGGUGUUAAAGAACCCAAUAUUUGUACACAAAACGAUGUCGGCUCGCUACUAGGUAAAGUUUACGAAACCAAAAAAUGUCCAUAUAGAUCAGUUUCUCUACCGUAUUUGUGUGAGACAAUCCGUAAUUUAAAAA
This is a non-coding RNA of Plutella xylostella (diamondback moth), 847 nucleotides long. NCBI's taxonomy places the organism in Eukaryota, Metazoa, Arthropoda, Insecta, Lepidoptera, Plutellidae. The record is from RefSeq and is a predicted model, not a curated record.